RNAcentral lists this ribosomal RNA (412 nucleotides) under uncultured bacterium. Its description in RNAcentral is "bacterial SSU rRNA". It matches the Rfam family "Bacterial small subunit ribosomal RNA", at positions 29 to 421 of the family's 1533-position model. The record is from RNAcentral.
AACGAACGCUGGCGGCGUGGAUAAGACAUGCAAGUCGAGCGCGACUUAUUCUGUAGCAAUACAGGGUAAGUUGAGCGGCGAAAGGGUGCGUAACACGUGGGCAAUUUGCCAUGAAGUUGGGGAUAACUCGCUGAAAGGCGAGCUAAUACCGAAUGUGAUUAUUUGGAGGCAUCUCCGGAUAAUUAAAGCUGGGGAUCGUAAGACCUGGCGCUUUAUGAUGAGCCCGCGGCCUAUCAGCUAGUUGGUGAGGUAAUGGCUCACCAAGGCUAAGACGGGUAGCUGGUCUGAGAGGACGACCAGCCACACUGGAACUGAGACACGGUCCAGACACCUACGGGUGGCAGCAGUCGAGAAUUUUCUCAAUGGACGAAAGUCUGAAGGAGCGACGCCGCGUGGGGAUGAAUGGCUUCGG